AUUGAACGCUGGCGGCAUGCCUUACACGUGCAAGUCGAACGGCAGCACGGGAGCAAUCCUGGUGGCGAGUGGCGAACGGGUGAGUAAAGUAUCGGAACGUGCCCAGUCGUGGGGGAUAACGUAGCGAAAGUUACGCUAAUACCGCCUACGAUACAUGGAUGAAAGCGGGGGAUGGCAAGACCUCGCGCGAUUGGAGCGGACGAUAUCAGAUUAGGUAGUUGGUGGGGUAAAGGCUCACCAAGCCGACGAUCUGUAGCUGGUCUGAGAGGACGACCAGCCACACUGGGACUGAGACACGGCCCAGACUCCUACGGGAGGCAGCAGUGGGGAAUUUUGGACAAUGGGCGAAAGCCUGAUCCGGCCAUGCCGCGUGCAGGAUGAAGGCCUUCGGGUUGUAAGCUGCUUUUGUACGGAACGAAAAGGUUUGGCCUAAUAAGCUGAGCUCAUGACGGUACCGUAAGAAUAAGCACCGGCUAACUACGUGCCAGCCGCCGCCGUAA
This 500-nucleotide ribosomal RNA is filed under the name uncultured bacterium. RNAcentral describes it as "partial 16S ribosomal RNA". It matches the Rfam family "Bacterial small subunit ribosomal RNA", at positions 30 to 523 of the family's 1533-position model. The record is from RNAcentral.